Molecule: ribosomal RNA, 492 nt
Filed under: uncultured bacterium
Lineage: Bacteria
Description: bacterial SSU rRNA
Rfam family: Bacterial small subunit ribosomal RNA
Source: RNAcentral
GAUGAACGCUAGCUACAGGCUUAACACAUGCAAGUCGAGGGGCAGCUAUUUUCUUAGCUUGACUAAGGAAGAUGGCGACCGGCGCACGGGUGAGUAACGCGUAUCCAACCUUCCCAUGUCCACGGGAUAGCCCGUCGAAAGGCGGAUUAAUACCGUAUGAGGUCACAUGCGGGCAUCUAAGUGUGACGAAAGGUUUAGCGGACAUGGAUGGGGAUGCGUCCGAUUAGCUUGUUGGCGGGGUAACGGCCCACCAAGGCGACGAUCGGUAGGGGUUCUGAGAGGAAGGUCCCCCACAUUGGAACUGAGACACGGUCCAAACUCCUACGGGAGGCAGCAGUGAGGAAUAUUGGUCAAUGGACGAGAGUCUGAACCAGCCAAGUAGCGUGCAGGAUGACGGCCCUAUGGGUUGUAAACUGCUUUUAUAAGGGAAUAAAGUGAGCCUCGUGAGGCUUUUUGCAUGUACCUUAUGAAUAAGGACCGGCUAAUUCCGUG